RNAcentral lists this unclassified non-coding RNA (299 nucleotides) under plant metagenome. RNAcentral describes it as "partial contains 5.8S ribosomal RNA, internal transcribed spacer 2, and large subunit ribosomal RNA". The stretch from base 1 to 105 matches the Rfam family "5.8S ribosomal RNA", at positions 50 to 154 of the family's 154-position model. The record is from RNAcentral.
GAAAUGCGAUAAGUAAUGUGAAUUGCAGAAUUCAGUGAGUCAUCGAAUCUUUGAACGCACAUUGCGCUCGCCAGUAUUCUGGCGAGCAUGCCUGUUCGAGCGUCAUUUCAACCAUCAAGCUCUGCUUGCGUUGGGGAUCCGCGGCUGCCCGCGGUCCCUCAAAAACAGUGGCGGGCUCGCUAGUCACACCGAGCGUAGUAACUCUACAUCGCUAUGGUCGUGCGGCGGGUUCUUGCCGUAAAACCCCCAAUUUCUAAGGUUGACCUCGGAUCAGGUAGGAAUACCCGCUGAACUUAAGC